RNAcentral lists this ribosomal RNA (473 nucleotides) under uncultured bacterium. RNAcentral describes it as "bacterial SSU rRNA". It matches the Rfam family "Bacterial small subunit ribosomal RNA", at positions 19 to 518 of the family's 1533-position model. The record is from RNAcentral.
CUGGCUCAGGAUGAACGCUGGCGGCGUGCCUAACACAUGCAAGUCGAGCGAUUCUCUUCGGAGAAGAGCGGCGGACGGGUGAGUAACGCGUGGGUAACCUGCCUCAUACACAUGGAUAACAUACCGAAAGGUAUGCUAAUACAGGAUAAUAUAAGAGAUUCACAUGGAUUUCUUAUCAAAGCUCCGGCGGUAUGAGAUGGACCCGCGUCUGAUUAGCUAGUUGGUAAGGUAACGGCUUACCAAGGCGACGAUCAGUAGCCGACCUGAGAGGGUGAUCGGCCACAUUGGAACUGAGACACGGUCCAAACUCCUACGGGAGGCAGCAGUGGGGAAUAUUGCACAAUGGGCGAAAGCCUGAUUGUAGCAACGCCGCGUGAGUGAUGAAGGCCUUCGGGUCGUAAAACUCUGUCCUCAAGGAAGAUAAUGACGGUACUUGAGGAGGAAGCCCCGGCUAACUACGUGCCAGCAGCGGC